Molecule: non-coding RNA, 284 nt
Filed under: Marinospirillum alkaliphilum DSM 21637
Lineage: Bacteria; Pseudomonadati; Pseudomonadota; Gammaproteobacteria; Oceanospirillales; Oceanospirillaceae
Description: Bacterial small subunit ribosomal RNA
Rfam family: Bacterial small subunit ribosomal RNA
Source: Rfam by way of RNAcentral
AAACUGAAGAGUUUGAUCAUGGCUCAGAUUGAACGCUGGCGGCAGGCCUAACACAUGCAAGUCGAGCGGCAGCACGGGAAAGCUUGCUUUUCUGGUGGCGAGCGGCGGACGGGUGAGUAAUGCAUGGGAAUCUGCCCGAUAGUGGGGGACAACGUUUCGAAAGGAACGCUAAUACCGCAUACGUCCUACGGGAGAAAGCAGGCUUAGGCUUGCGCUAUCGGAUGAGCCCAUGUCGGAUUAGCUAGUUGGUGAGGUAAAGGCUCACCAAGGCGACGAUCCGUAAC